GAUGUUCUUAGUGCACUGAUGUCUAUUGUUUUUGUUGUUGAGGUUUAGUUUUUUAUUUUUGUAGAUACAAAAGCGACCUGCAAAAGAAAGAGGAAACAAGUGCACUACACGCAGAGACGAGAAUAAAAGAGAAUCAAGUGCACUGCAUGCCACUCAUUCCCUUGUGAUGUAUACCUCUUUUAUUUGUUGGUUGUGGUGUGUGAAGUAUUAGUGUUGUUUUGAAGAAGCCCUGGAGAACCCGUUGCUCAAUGACCUCACCAUGGUUCACUUUGUGAGAAGAAUGUACACACGAGUUUACUCCUUUAUAAAAAAAUUAAGGAGUUGUCUUUUGCAUUGUUU
This is a long non-coding RNA of Hordeum vulgare subsp. vulgare (domesticated barley), 339 nucleotides long. RefSeq lists it as uncharacterized. The record is from RefSeq and is a predicted model, not a curated record. NCBI's taxonomy places the organism in Eukaryota, Viridiplantae, Streptophyta, Magnoliopsida, Poales, Poaceae. The transcript has 2 exons.